RNAcentral lists this ribosomal RNA (473 nucleotides) under uncultured bacterium. Its description in RNAcentral is "bacterial SSU rRNA". It matches the Rfam family "Bacterial small subunit ribosomal RNA", at positions 335 to 799 of the family's 1533-position model. The record is from RNAcentral.
ACUCCUACGGGAGGCAGCAGUGGGGAAUAUUGGACAAUGGGGGCAACCCUGAUCCAGCGAUGCCGCGUGUGUGAAGAAGGCCUGCGGGUUGUAAAGCACUUUUAUUGGGGAAGAGUGGUGUGAGGAUGAAUAGUCUUCAUACUUGACGGUACCCAAGGAAUAAGCACCGGCUAACUCUGUGCCAGCAGCCGCGGUAAUACAGAGGGUGCGAGCGUUAAUCGGAAUUACUGGGCGUAAAGGGCGCGUAGGCGGGCUGAUAAGUCAGAUGUGAAAGUCCUGGGCUUAACCUGGGGAUUGCAUUUGAAACUGUUGGUCUGGAGUGAAGUAGAGGGUGGCGGAAUUUCCGGUGUAGCGGUGAAAUGCGUAGAUAUCGGAAGGAACACCAGUGGCGAAGGCGGCCACCUGGACUUUAACUGACGCUGAGGCGCGAAAGCGUGGGGGAGCGAACAGGAUUAGAUACCCUGUAGGCUCUG